CAGCAGCCGCGGUAAUACGUAGGAUGCGAGCGUUGUCCGGAAUUAUUGGGCGUAAAGCGUACGUAGGCGGUUCGUUAAGUCAGGGGUUAAAGACCGAGGCUCAACCUCGGGAGUGCCCUUGAUACUGGCGGACUGGAGGACGGAAGAGGAAAGUGGAAUUCCCAGUGUAGCGGUGAAAUGCGUAGAUAUUGGGAGGAACACCAGUGGCGAAAGCGACUUUCUGGUCCGUUUCUGACGCUGAGGUACGAAAGCGUGGGGAGCAAA
Molecule: ribosomal RNA, 264 nt
Filed under: uncultured bacterium
Lineage: Bacteria
Description: partial 16S ribosomal RNA
Rfam family: Bacterial small subunit ribosomal RNA
Source: RNAcentral